UCAAAGUUCCAAGGAAUUUCAAGAAAUCCAGGUGAUGGUUAUACCCCAAAUAUUAUUGCAAAAUUGAAUUAAAGUGUAGUGUGGAGAAGCCAGCCCAUAAAUUUCCAAGUUUAGAGGGAACUCAAAGGUCCCAAGGCAAAGCUCAUAGGAAGGGGGCAGAACAUAGAAUUUAGGAGUAAGUGUAAGUGCAAUAGAUGGGGG
Molecule: long non-coding RNA, 201 nt
Filed under: Nicotiana benthamiana
Lineage: Eukaryota; Viridiplantae; Streptophyta; Magnoliopsida; Solanales; Solanaceae
Description: long non-coding RNA (NBEN_LNC004158)
Source: RNAcentral